This is a long non-coding RNA of Ruditapes philippinarum (Manila clam), 1886 nucleotides long. RefSeq lists it as uncharacterized. The record is from RefSeq and is a predicted model, not a curated record. NCBI's taxonomy places the organism in Eukaryota, Metazoa, Mollusca, Bivalvia, Venerida, Veneridae. The transcript has 2 exons.
UAUAGUAAGGGGUCAUUUGGGUCAAGGUCAAUGUCACCAAUGUCAAGGUCACCAAUGUUAAAAAUAGAUUUUUACAUUUUUACAGGUGUAUUAACCAUAUUCUAUAGACAGAUGUCAUUUAUAAUUGAUAGGAACAUAAAAUUUGAUGGAGUUAGUGGUCAGUUGGGUCAAGGUCACCAGUGCUAAAAAUAGAUGUUUACACUUUUGCUCAUACAGCCUUUAUUUAUUGACAGAUAUAUUUCGUAUUUGGUAGGAAGAUAACUUGCAUGGUAUUCAUCCUUUUGAUUGGGGUAGGGAUCAGUGGGUCAAGGUCACAAGUGCUAAAAAUAGAUUUUUACACUUUUGCCCAUACAGCCUUUAUUUAUUGACAGAUUUAUUUCAUAUUUGGUUGGAAGAUAACUUGCAUGGUAUUCUUCCUUUGGAUGGAGUUAGGGGUCAGUUUGAUCAAGGUCAUCAAUGCUCAAAAUAGAUUUUAACAUUUUUGCCCAUACAGCCUUUAUUUAUUGACAGGUGUAUUUCAUAUUUGGUAGGAAGAUAACUUGCAUGAUAUUCUAUAGGUGUCAGUGGGUCAAGGUCAAGGGUGCCAAGUAUAGAUUUCUUACAUUUAUAUAUAUUUGAUAAAGUUGAAUAUUUAUCACUUCACAAGUCAUAGCAAUGACUUGGCAACUUAUACAUGUAUAUUUCACAAUUACAAAAUGCCAUGACUCUGUCAAGCUAUAUAACUUGUGUUUUCAAUUUUUGGCAGUGUUUCUGUCUAUAACUGAGUGAAUAGGUAAACAUUUUUAGCUCACCUGUCACAAAGUGACAGGGUGAGCUUUUGUGAUGGCUUUUCGUCCGUUGUCCGUCCGUCGUCCGUCCGUCCGUAAAGUUUUACUUUAAAUAACAUCUCCUCAUAAACCACUAAGCAAAUUUCAUCCAAACUUCACAGGAAUGUUCCUUUGGUGGUCACCUUUAAAAAUUGUUCAAAGGAUUUAAUUCCAUGCAGAACUCUGGUUGCCAUGGCAACCGAAAGAAAAAACUUUAAAUAUCUUCUUUUAAAAAACCCUAAGAGCUAGAGCUUAGAUAUUUGGUAUGAAACAUCUUCUAGCAAGUGUCUACCAAGUUUGUUCAAAUAAAAGCCCUGGGGUCAAAAUUGGCCCCGCCCCAGGGGGUCAUUGAUUUUCCCUAUAUGUAUAUAGUAAAAGCUUAAAAAAUCUUCUUUUAAAGAACCCAAAGAGCUAGAGCUAAAAUAUUUAGCAUGAAACAUCUUCUAAUGGUCGUCUACCAAGUUUGUUCAAAUAAAAGCCAUGGGGUCAAAAUUGGCCCCGCCCCAGGGGGUCAUUGAUUUUUCCUAUAUGCAUAUAGUAAAAACUUAAAAAUCUUCUUUUAAAGAACCCAAAGAGCUAGAGCUAAGAUAUUUAGCAUGAAACAUGUUCUAAUGGAUGUCUACCAAGUUUGUUCAAAUAAGAGCCCUGGGGUCAAAAUAGGCCCCGCCCCAGGGGGUCAUUGAUUUUUCCUAUAUGCAUAUAGUAAAAACUUAGAAAUCUUCUUUUAAAGAACACAAAGAGCUAGAGCUAACAUAUUUAGCAUGAAACAUGUUCUAGCAAGUGUCUACCAAGUUUGUUCAAAUAAAAGCCCUGGGGUCAAAAUUGGCCCCGCCCCAGGGGGUCAUUGAUUUUCCCUAUAUGAAUAUAGUAAAAACUUAAAAAAUCUUCUUUUAAAGAACCCAAAGAGCUAGAGCUAAGAUAUUUAGCAUGAAACAUGUUCUAAUGGAUGUCUACCAAGUUUGUUCAAAUAAGAGCCCUGGGGUCAAAAUUGGCCCCGCCCCAGGGGAUCAUUGAUUUUCCCUAUAUGAAUAUAGUAAAAACUUAAAAAUCUUCUUUUAAAGAACCCAAAGAGCUAGAGCU